This 406-nucleotide ribosomal RNA is filed under the name uncultured bacterium. RNAcentral describes it as "partial 16S ribosomal RNA". It matches the Rfam family "Bacterial small subunit ribosomal RNA", at positions 28 to 526 of the family's 1533-position model. The record is from RNAcentral.
GACGAACGCUGGCGGCGUGCCUAACACAUGCAAGUCGAGCGAGUGGCGGACGGGUGAGUAAUGUCUGGGAAACUGCCCGAUGGAGGGGGCUAACUACUGGAAACGGUAGCUAAUACCGCAUACCAUCGGAUGUGCCCAGAUGGGAUUAGCUAGUAGGUGGGGUAACGGCUCACCUAGGCGACGAUCCCUAGCUGGUCUGAGAGGAUGACCAGCCAAACUGGUACGGAGACACGGUCCAGACUCCUACGGGAGGCAGCAGUGGGGAAUAUUGCACAAUGGGCGAAAGCCUGAUGCAGCCAUGCCGCGUGUAUGAAGAAGGCCUUCGGGUUGUAAAGUACUUUCAGCGAGGAGGCGUUACUCGCAGAAGAAGCACCGGCUAACUCCGUGCCAGCAGCCGCGGUAAUAC